CAUUGCGGCAGCUACCAUGCAAGUCGAACGUGAUCCGCCCUUCGGGGUGGUGAAAGUGGCGCACGGGUGAGUAACGCGUGGAUAAUCUGCCCGAGGAUUUGGGAUAACAUCUCGAAAGGGGUGCUAAUACCGAAUAAGCCCACGGGGUCUACGGAUCUUGCGGGAAAAGGGGGGGACCUUCGGGCCUCCUGUCCUUGGAUGAGUCUGCGUACCAUUAGCUAGUUGGUGGGGUAAUGGCCUACCAAGGCGACGAUGGUUAGCUGGUCUGAGAGGAUGAUCAGCCACACUGGAACUGAGACACGGUCCAGACUCCUACGGGAGGCAGCAGUGGGGAAUUUUGCGCAAUGGGGGAAACCCUGACGCAGUAACGCCGCGUGGGUGAUGAAGGCAUUCGGGUCGUAAAGCUCUGUCUGGAGGGAAGAAAUGAUUGGGAGCUAAUACCUCUUGAUCUUGACGGUACCUCUGAAGGAAGCACCGGCUAACUCCGUGCCAGCAGCCGCGGUAAUACGGAGGGUGCAAGCGUUGUUCGGAAUUAUUGGGCGUAAAGCGCGUGUAGGCGGUCUUUUAAGUCUGAUGUGAAAGCCCCGGGCUCAACCUGGGAAGUGCAUUGGAAACUGGGAGGCUUGAGUACGGGAGAGGAGAGUGGAAUUCCUAGUGUAGGAGUGAAAUCCGUAGAUAUUAGGAGGAACACCGGUGGCGAAGGCGGCUCUCUGGACCGAUACUGACGCUGAGACGCGAAAGCGUGGGUAGCAAACAGGAUUAGAUACCCUGGUAGUCCACGCCGUAAACGAUGAGUACUAGUGUUGCGGGUAUUGACCCC
This 820-nucleotide ribosomal RNA is filed under the name uncultured Geobacter sp. RNAcentral's name for it is "bacterial SSU rRNA". It matches the Rfam family "Bacterial small subunit ribosomal RNA", at positions 36 to 839 of the family's 1533-position model. Lineage: Bacteria; Pseudomonadati; Thermodesulfobacteriota; Desulfuromonadia; Geobacterales; Geobacteraceae. The record is from RNAcentral.